This 253-nucleotide ribosomal RNA is filed under the name uncultured bacterium. Its description in RNAcentral is "partial 16S ribosomal RNA". It matches the Rfam family "Bacterial small subunit ribosomal RNA", at positions 524 to 776 of the family's 1533-position model. The record is from RNAcentral.
UACGGAGGGGGCUAGCGUUGUUCGGAAUUACUGGGCGUAAAGCGCACGUAGGCGGCUUUGUAAGUUAGAGGUGAAAGCCCGGGGCUCAACCCCGGAAUUGCCUUUAAGACUGCAUCGCUAGAAUUGUGGAGAGGUGAGUGGAAUUCCGAGUGUAGAGGUGAAAUUCGUAGAUAUUCGGAAGAACACCAGUGGCGAAGGCGACUCACUGGACACAUAUUGACGCUGAGGUGCGAAAGCGUGGGGAGCAAACAGG